UACAGAGGGUGCAAGCGUUAAUCGGAAUUACUGGGCGUAAAGCGCACGUAGGCGGUUUUUUAAGUCAGAUGUGAAAGCCCCGGGCUCAACCUGGGAAUUGCAUUUGAAACUGGAAAACUAGAGUGUGUGAGAGGGGGGUAGAAAUCCAAGUGUAGCGGUGAAAUGCGUAGAGAUUUGGAGGAAUACCAGUGGCGAAGGCGGCCCCCUGGCACAACACUGACGCUCAGGUGCGAAAGCGUGGGGAGCAAACAGG
This 253-nucleotide ribosomal RNA is filed under the name uncultured bacterium. RNAcentral describes it as "partial 16S ribosomal RNA". It matches the Rfam family "Bacterial small subunit ribosomal RNA", at positions 524 to 776 of the family's 1533-position model. The record is from RNAcentral.